AAUCAACGCUGGCGGCGUGCCUCAGACAUGCAAGUCGAACGAGAAAGUCCCCUUCGGGGGAGUAAGUAAAGUGGCGCACGGGUGAGUAACACGUAGGUAAUCUACCUUCGGGUGGGGAAGUAACCCACGGGAAACUUGGGCGUAACACCGCAUAAUGCAGCGGCACCACAUGGUGACAGUUGUUAAAGCGGGGGAGUUUUCGGUACCUCGCGCCUGAAGAGGAGCCUGCGGCGGAUUAGCUAGUUGGUAAGGAACGG
Molecule: ribosomal RNA, 257 nt
Filed under: uncultured bacterium
Lineage: Bacteria
Description: partial 16S ribosomal RNA
Rfam family: Bacterial small subunit ribosomal RNA
Source: RNAcentral